Podarcis raffonei (Aeolian wall lizard) is the source of this 1335-nucleotide long non-coding RNA. RefSeq lists it as uncharacterized. The transcript has 2 exons. Lineage: Eukaryota; Metazoa; Chordata; Lepidosauria; Squamata; Lacertidae. The record is from RefSeq and is a predicted model, not a curated record.
CGCACAGACAUUUCCCCUUACUUUCUAGGAGGAAAAAAACAUUUCUUAUGGAGCGAAAAAUACAGUACCUCCCCUCCAUUACUUAUCCUCCUUCCAAAACUGUAACGUCCACUAAGAAGGUGAUGGAGAGGUAACUAUUACUGCCAACCAAAGAGAUGUGAAAAGUCAGAAGAUACUGCGGUUAAAAAAUAAAUAAAUCUCUGCUGGUUUUGGAUAGUUGGUGCUUGCAAACAUUUGCUGGAUGCUGUGGUUUUUCCUUUUAGUAUAAAAAAGCAUUUUCUGGAAUGUUUCCUAGUAUUGUAUUCAGAGUAGUAUUGUUUUGCUUGUAACUCAAAAGACAGCUGUCCCUUCAGUUGAGUCUAAUCAGAUUGAACUUGGCUAAUCUUCCCAACCUCUUGUCUUCCAGAUGUUAGACUCAACCUAUCAUCAACCUCACCCAGCAUGGCCAUUGGUCAGGGAUGAUGGGAGCUCUGGUCCAACAACAUCUGAUGAUGAUAGGAUGGGGAAGGCUGAACUAGGCCAAACAUUUUUUUAUGAUAUGCCACGUAAUUUUUUUGUUCUCAUUGUUAAAAAUUGGAAGAGUUAUUUCCAUUAAGCUUGUCUCAGAAAUGCUUUUUCAGAAGAAUCUGAUUAAGUCAGUAAGACUAAUAAACUGGGAGAAGUAUCCCAAGCUAUAAUUUAGAGUACCUUGCGAGUUUAAUCUUCUUCCGCACAAGCCCCUUCAAAAUGAGCAGGUAUUACAUAAUAGCAGCACUUCUAAGAUGGAAUAUUGUGUCUAUAGUUGGGAAACUAAUGAGGAAGAGGAAUAAUUAGCCAUUUUAAAAUGGACUUCGUUUUAAAAAAGUACUCGGUUUUUCACCUAAAGUUUAAAAGUAUCAGCAGAAUAUGUGCAACUGUAGACCAAUAUAUAUGUAAUGCUUCCCGCCUAUAGAAAUUCAUCAUAUAGCUUAUCUUCCAAGCUAGGGUUGGUAUGUUAUGAAAGAAUAUCUCUUUACCAGUGCCAGUAAAUAAAAGACUGCUACCAGUUUUCCCCAUCAUUCCUUUCCAUAAUCCAGUUGGUCACUCUUCUGCCCCAACUGCUUAAGUAAUUUUGCCCCAUUCUGAUUGCAGGGAGUGCAGCAAUUUUAACUGUACCAAUUCAGUGGGAAAGGCAAUUCUUAUUCCUUUUAGGUUCCGCUUUUACAUGGAUCUGUGUUAAUGUUACUUCCAAUUUUUCACUGCAUUCCACAGUGAUUUAUUAUAUUUCAGGCAUUUAAACCUAAAUUGUCAUUUGUGAAGCUAUUAUGUAUAUUUAACUUUUAAUACUAUUUAUAAUAAAGCGUAGUCUAUAAUUUA